Molecule: ribosomal RNA, 447 nt
Filed under: uncultured bacterium
Lineage: Bacteria
Description: bacterial SSU rRNA
Rfam family: Bacterial small subunit ribosomal RNA
Source: RNAcentral
UCCAGACUCCUACGGGAGGCAGCAGUGGGGGAUAUUGCACAAUGGGGGAAACCCUGAUGCAGCGACGCCGCGUGAGUGAAGAAGUAUUUCGGUAUGUAAAGCUCUAUCAGCAGGGAAGAAAAAAGACGGUACCUGACUAAGAAGCCCCGGCUAACUACGUGCCAGCAGCCGCGGUAAUACGUAGGGGGCAAGCGUUAUCCGGAUUUACUGGGUGUAAAGGGAGCGUAGACGGCAAUACAAGUCGGAAGUGAAAUACCCGGGCUCAACCUGGGAACUGCUUUGGAAACUGUAUGGCUGGAGUGCUGGAGAGGUAAGCGGAAUUCCUAGUGUAGCGGUGAAAUGCGUAGAUAUUAGGAGGAACACCAGUGGCGAAGGCGGCUUACUGGACAGUAACUGACGUUGAGGCUCGAAAGCGUGGGGAGCAAACAGGAUUAGAUACCCCCGUAU